Molecule: ribosomal RNA, 229 nt
Filed under: uncultured bacterium
Lineage: Bacteria
Description: partial 16S ribosomal RNA
Rfam family: Bacterial small subunit ribosomal RNA
Source: RNAcentral
CGCGUAGGCGGCUUGUUAAGUGAGGUGUGAAAGCCCACGGCUCACCCGUGGAAGUGCAUUUCAUACUGGCAAGCUUGAGGAGUGCAGAGGUAAGUGGAAUUCUAGGUGUAGCGGUGACAUGCGCAGAUAUCUAGGAGAAGAUCGGUGGCGAAGGCGACUUACUGGGCACUACCUGACGCUGAGGCGCGAAAGCGUGGGGAGCAAACAGGAUUAGAUACCCUGGUAGUCC